UACGGAGGAUGCGAGCGUUAUCCGGAUUUAUUGGGUUUAAAGGGUGCGUAGGCGGAUCGUUAAGUCAGUGGUCAAAUUGAGGGGCUCAACCCCUUCCCGCCAUUGAAACUGGCAGUCUCGAGUUGGAGAGAAGUAUGCGGAAUGCGCGGUGUAGCGGUGAAAUGCAUAGAUAUCACGCAGAACUCCGAUUGCGAAGGCAGCAUACCGGCGCUCAACUGACGCUCAUGCACGAAAGCGUGGGUAUCGAACAGG
This 252-nucleotide ribosomal RNA is filed under the name uncultured Bacteroidales bacterium. RNAcentral describes it as "partial 16S ribosomal RNA". It matches the Rfam family "Bacterial small subunit ribosomal RNA", at positions 524 to 776 of the family's 1533-position model. The record is from RNAcentral. Lineage: Bacteria; Pseudomonadati; Bacteroidota; Bacteroidia; Bacteroidales.